GAUGAAGAAGGCAGCGAAAUGCGAUAAGUAAUGUGAAUUGCAGAAUUCAGUGAAUCAUCGAAUCUUUGAACGCACAUUGCGCCCGCUAGUAUUCUGGCGGGCAUGCCUGUCCGAGCGUCAUUUCAACCCUCAAGCCCCCGGGCUUGGUGUUGGGGAUCGGCGAGCCUCCGCGCCCGCCGUCCCCUAAAUCUAGUGGCGGUCUCGCUGUAGCUUCCUCUGCGUAGUAGCACACCUCGCACUGGGAAACAGCGCGGCCACGCCGUUAAACCCCCAACUUCUGAACGUUUGACCUCGGAUCAGGUAGGAAUACCCGCUGAACUUAAGCAUAUCAAUAAGCGGAGGA
This 343-nucleotide unclassified non-coding RNA is filed under the name soil metagenome. Its description in RNAcentral is "partial contains 5.8S ribosomal RNA, internal transcribed spacer 2, and large subunit ribosomal RNA". The stretch from base 1 to 120 matches the Rfam family "5.8S ribosomal RNA", at positions 35 to 154 of the family's 154-position model. The record is from RNAcentral.